GAUGAACGCUGGCGGCGUGCCUAACACAUGCAAGUCGAGCGAUCUCUUCGGAGAGAGCGGCGGACGGGUGAGUAACGCGUGGGUAACCUGCCCUGUACACACGGAUAACAUACCGAAAGGUAUGCUAAUACGGGAUAAUAUAUAAAAGUCGCAUGGCUUUUAUAUCAAAGCUUUUGCGGUACAGGAUGGACCCGCGUCUGAUUAGCUAGUUGGUAAGGUAACGGCUUACCAAGGCGACGAUCAGUAGCCGACCGGGGAGGGUGAUCGGCCACACUGGAAGUGAGACACGGCCCAAACUCCUACGGGAGGAAGCAGCGGGGAAUAUUGAACAAUGGGCGAAAGCCUGAUGCAGCAACGCCGCGUGAGCGAUGAAGGCCUUCGGGUCGUAAAGCUCUGUCCUCAAGGAAGAUAAUGACGGUACUUGAGGAGGAAGCCCCGGCUAACUACGUGCCAGCCGCCGCCGUAA
This 466-nucleotide ribosomal RNA is filed under the name uncultured bacterium. RNAcentral's name for it is "partial 16S ribosomal RNA". It matches the Rfam family "Bacterial small subunit ribosomal RNA", at positions 28 to 523 of the family's 1533-position model. The record is from RNAcentral.